AGAGUUUGAUCCUGGCUCAGGACGAACGCUGGCGGCAUGCCUAAUACAUGCAAGUCGGACGAGCUUCCGUUGAAUGACGUGCUUGCACUGAUUUCAACAAUGAAGCGAGUGGCGAACUGGUGAGUAACACGUGGGUAACUUGCCCAGAAGCAGGGGAUAACACUUGGAAACAGGUGCUAAUACCGUAUAACAACAGAAACCGCAUGGUUUCUGUUUGAAAGAUGGUUUCGGCUAUCACUUCUGGAUGGACCCGCGGCGUAUUAGUUAGUUGGUGAGGUAAAGGCCCACCAAGACAAUGAUACGUAGCCGACCUGAGAGGGUAAUCGGCCACAUUGGGACUGAGACACGGCCCAAACUCCUACGGGAGGCAGCAGUAGGGAAUCUUCCACAAUGGACGAAAGUCUGAUGGAGCAAGGCCGCGUGAGUGAAGAAGGGUUUCGGCUCGUAAAACUCUGUUGUUAAAGAAGAACACUUCUGAGAGUAACUGUUCAGAAGUUGACGGUAUUUAACCAGAAAGCCACGGCUAACUACGUGCCAGCAGCCGCGGUAAUACGUAGGUGGCAAGCGUUGUCCGGAUUUAUUGGGCGUAAAGCGAGCGCAGGCGGUUUCUUAAGUCUGAUGUGAAAGCCUUCGGCUUAACCGGAGAAGUGCAUCGGAAACUGGGAGACUUGAGUGCAGAAGAGGACAGUGGAACUCCAUGUGUAGCGGUGGAAUGCGUAGAUAUAUGGAAGAACACCAGUGGCGAAGGCGGCUGUCUAGUCUGUAACUGACGCUGAGGCUCGAAAGCGUGGGUAGCAAACAGGAUUAGAUACCCUGGUAGUCCAUGCCGUAAACGAUGAGUGCUAGGUGUUGGAGGGUUUCCGCCCUUCAGUGCCGCAGCUAACGCAUUAAGCACUCCGCCUGGGGAGUACGACCGCAAGGUUGAAACUCAAAGGAAUUGACGGGGGCCCGCACAAGCGGUGGAGCAUGUGGUUUAAUUCGAAGCUACGCGAAGAACCUUACCAGGUCUUGACAUACUAUGCAAAUCCUAGAGAUAGGACGUUCCCUUCGGGGACCAGCCGCCUAAGGUGGGACAGAUGAUUAGGGUGAAGUCGUAACAAGGUAACCAAGG
RNAcentral lists this ribosomal RNA (1111 nucleotides) under uncultured Lactobacillus sp. RNAcentral describes it as "bacterial SSU rRNA". It matches the Rfam family "Bacterial small subunit ribosomal RNA", at positions 8 to 1080 of the family's 1533-position model. Lineage: Bacteria; Bacillati; Bacillota; Bacilli; Lactobacillales; Lactobacillaceae. The record is from RNAcentral.